AGCCUCAGGGUGGCUCUGCCUGAGGGCCCAGCCGGCCCCGCUCCCGUCCUCUGCUGCAGCUCCUCCGGAGCAACUGCAGCCUCGGUGAUAGCACCUGGAAAAGGGGCACAUCUUGCCAAGGUGUGCCCAAGGGGCAGGUUGGGUUGCUGUGAUGAUGGGUACACAGGGCCCUGCACACGGUAGGUGCUCAGUAAACAACUGCUGAAGGAUGUGCCUUUCCCACGGUCACACGCAAGCAGGUGCUGGCGCAGGGCUCAAACCCAGACCAACCUCGGUGCCCACCCGGUGCCUCCUCCCAGGCAGCCCUGCUGGCUGUGAGGAUGUGGGAGCCCUGGGGAUGGAGGUUUCUACCAACCUCGGUGCCCUCCCUGUGCCUCCUCCCAGGUGGCCCUGCUGGCUGUGAGGAUGUGGGAGCCCUGGGGAUGGAGGUUUCUACCAACCUCGGUACCCUCCCUGUGCCUCCUCCCAGGCGGCCCUGCUGGCUGUGGGGACAGAGGUUUCUACUUGUCCUGCCUCCAUCCCAUUUCCCGUAAGGGAGGAAAUUCUCCGUGGAACUCCCCUGCUGGACUGACACUCCUCCACCGCUCGACACAUUCAGAAUCAGGCUUUCCAGUCGGAGCUGCAAAAGGAGACACAAAAAUCACAGCUCAUUCCAAGAGGUGCCUGCAGCCAGCAGCACCCAGCAGCAUUGUCACCACUGCAAGCAGCCACUGACAGCCGACCUGAGAAUGAACAUGAGGGCCAGGGAGGAGGCAGCUCAGCCUGCAGCGUCAGCAGCGCAGUUCGGCAGAGCCUGCUAAUCGUCUUGCUCAAGUUUCAAACUCUGUUUACCAAAUGACCACAGAAGCGUUUUAACAACAAACACCUCAUUUGAAGGCCAAGAUGAAAAAUUUUACAUAAAAAAUUAAUUUUACUGGUUUACAUUGUUUUUAUACAUUAAAAUGAAUACAUUUACUUAUUUUUUUGAGACAGGGUCUCAUUCUGUCACCCAGGCUGGAGUGCAGUGGCACGAUCAUAGCUCACUGUCGACUCGACCACCUGGACCCAAGCAAUCCUCCCACUUCAGCCUCCCAAGUAGCUGGGACUACAGGUGCUCACUGCCACAUCUAGCUAAUAUUAUUUUUAUUUUUCGUAGAGAUGGGGGUCUCGUUAUGUUGCCCAGGCUGGUCUCCAGCUCCUGGGCUCAAGUGAUCCUCCUGCUUUGGCCUCCCAAAGUGCUGGGAUUAAGGCAUGAGCCACCACGCCCAGCCAAAAUGGACACAUUUACUUAUUGUAAAUUUAGUAAUGGCCACACAGCUCAUAAGUGACGAUGCCAGGCUCAGGACCCAUCUCUGGGUCCUAAUAAAAUAUUUUCUAGCCUCUGUCCUGUCUAACAAUACAGUUGGAAAAAAACUGGGUACAGCUAUGUUUUUAUGUGCCUAAGGGUCAGCAAGAUGUCAGAGAUGACUGUGCAUCGUAUGGAUGGGCUGGCACCGUCUGGAUGAGUAACUGAAUGCAGUCGAGUGAGAUUCAUAAAUUACACCUGCACCAUGGCAAGCUGGACUUUGUCAGGCAAGAGGCUCUUGGACUCCUGCUAUCAGAGAGGAAGGACCAGACAAUUCAAUGACUGCACCUCUUGUCUCACCUCAGCUCUUCCACCUCUCAGACCCUGCCUCUACUCCAGUGCAAUGUCUGUCUCUGUUGGUGAUGCACAACCUACCUGCCUUUACAGCAUUUAGAUGAAGUGGCCUUUUGUUUCCAAGUUGUCAAGCGGGAGACGCAGACAGUGUUUCUUCGAGGCUUGGGGGGUGGUUGUGCGAGAGUGGACGCUAAGUCCGGGCCAACACUGAGUGCUGUAUCCCAGGGACAUAGGAGUCCUGCGUGUGGGUCUGCGACACGUAAGGGCCUCUCAAGCGUGGGGUCUGUGGCAGGUGCCCUCCUGCCUGGGUCUAAGGCCAGUGCCGAUUAUUGUUGUGAAAGCCCCACAUUCCUUUCAGAAGAGGUUUGGCAAUCGACUGCUUUACCAUAGGUGCUGCCUUCAUGAUCCUGAGGUCGUGGGUAAAAAUCUCCACUUUCAACCACAAGGCUGCUUUGAGGAUUGCAACACUUGGGCAGCAGAGGUUUAUGUCCACUGCUGGUUUCUAAGCCAGCCUGUGUCUGUGCUUGCACAGGAAUGGGCAGGAGCUCUGAUUCAUACAGAUAAAAAGCUGCAAAUUAUAAGAGUUUCAGACUGUUCUCUCUGUGGCUGCUGCAACUCACAGAUUUUGGGAGAAGCCUGGGUAUGCUGAGGGCUUACGAAGUCGAGAUGACCUCACACCACAAGGUGACAUGUUGGUGGUUCCAACGUGCUAAUCUCUGAUGCAUCACACUUGUGAAUUGGCCACUUCCAGUGCAGUUACAAAUGAGAUUUUAAGUGAAAGCUUAAUAAGUAUUUUGGAGCUCUGGAAGGCCUGCAGGAUUUGGCUGGUCCCCAAUGCCACUGUGCCAAGCAGAGGCCAGGUUCUGCUGGGGUGCCCCAACUCCUGGUCACAUAGGGAAGUUCCUCCUCCCAGGACGCCAAGGUCUGGCUUCUACCUGCAUGUAGCUUCUCCUUCUGGUCCCAGUGCUUAUCACUGGGGUUUCCAGAACACAUCUCUAAGAGUCGGGCGUGGUGGCUCACACCUGUAAUCCCAGCAUUUUGGGAGGCCAAGGCGGGUGGAUCACUUGAGGUCAGGAGUUCGAGACCAGCCUGGCCAACAUGAUGAAACCCUGGCUCUAUUACAAACACACAAAAAAUUAGCCAGGCAUGGUGGUGUGUGCUUGUAGUCCCAGCUACUCAGGAGGCGGAGGCAGGAGAAUUGCUUGAACCUGGGAGGCAGAGGUUGAAGUGAGCCAAGAUGGCCCCAUUGCACUCCAGCCUGGGCGACAGCGCAGGACUUAGAUAAACCCAGGGCAAAGUGCACUUUGCAUGUCUAGAGGCAAAAUUCUUCAAAGGAUUGCCCAGGGUGUGAGAUGUGUGAUAAUCUGGUGGCUCCUGGACGAAGCAAUAAUCUCAUUUAAUCCUUUUCCAAUUCUUGCUCCUUUAUGAGUCUUUUGAGGACUUUCUGAGUCCUCAAAGAGAAAGUCUGUUUGGUAAUAUACGUUUAAAAAACCUUAACAUUUAUUAAUCCUCCCCCGCCAACCCCGAUUUUUUUGAAGAGAGAAAGCAAAUGUAUCUAACUGAAGUUUAAUGCUGUUUUGUUUUUAUAUUACUUUUUACUUUUAGCUUCUACUUAAUAAAAAAAUCCAGCUUGUAUUGAUGGGAGGGAUAUAAAAAAAUUGCGACAGUGCUCAGCAAAUGACUGGUGUUUGGGACCCGUGGCCUCUAGAUUUAGCGGAGUUUCGAUCUGUGAUCUGGGCUCCAUGCCUGAGACAGAAAGUCAUGCCCUCAGUCAGCCCGACUUGAGACCGAUGUGAAGCGACUGGAGGGGGCCCUCUGGGACAUUUGCAAAUGACCACGCCCCUGCUGUACUGCAAACGACGACUGGGCAAGGAGGAGCUGACCACAGGAGGCUCGGACUGGGAGCCAGAAGAUUCCCCCGGGGAAGCUUCAGAAAGCAGGAAGAGCAGCUGGUUUGGGCAGUCCCAAAUGCCUGCUCUAGCUCUGAGUAUCGUUACCUAAUCCCUGUGAGAGAGUGGGGAGCGGCUGUGCAAGUUCCGAGUGCAGGUAUGCUACCUGUUAGGAUUUUAUUUUUUUAUUUUUAUUUUUUUUUGAGACGUAGUCUCGCUCUGUCGCCAGGCUGGAGUGAGUGGCGCCAUCUCGGCCAACUGCAACCUCCGCCUCCCGGAUUCAAGCGAUUCACCUGUUAGGAAUUUUAACAUUCAGCGCCCAAGCGCAGAGCAGAGGAGGCUGGAGGGGCGCAACACCGCCAUCUCGCGGCGACGGGGUGCACAGCGCUUGCGAGGACCCAGACUGGGAUCCAUCUGUCCCAGAGACUCAUUUUCAGCAUCAAAGUGCGUCCCUGCGCUGUCCGUAAAGAGCCUGCCAUGCGGCAGGUACCGCGCAGGACUCCAGACCUGCCUUAUCUUUUGAGAUCCCCACAGCCCCUGAAGGAAGGGACCACUAAUAUCAACAUUCACAGGACGAAAUCGGAGGUGUCCUUGUGUUCACAGCUGGGCAGCCCACCCAGCUCAAGGGGGGACUUGGGGAACGCUGUCUAGCCUGCGAGAGGUGGAAGUGGGCUCCUGAGAAGGGCGGCCGCGUGUGGCUUCACCGUCCCCUUUUGGGUUUAAAGGGAACUUCCCCGGAUGGAUUAGGUGUCACGGCAGCAGUGUGAGAAUGGAAGCGCCCAAGCCCGUCCCCUCGGCCAGCCCCUUCAGCUCUCUGGGCCUCAGUGUCGUCACCCGUCAAACGGGGACAGGGACCCUCCUUCCCAGUGCAGGGUGGGGUCCGAGUGAGCUAGGGCAAGCCAGCGUUCAGUGCAGGGCAACUGGGGUCUGAGUCCUUGGGGAGCUGGGCUUGGAGAAAGUGAGAUCUCGUGGGCUCUGGGAGGGAGGGCCUGUGCUCUGUUCCCACACAGCACCCCCAGCGGCAGGGCUCCUUGGGGAGGCCAGACCAGGGCCAGGCGUGGCCAGAAAGACCCUGCCUUUAAGGGGCUGUGGAACCCUGGGCAAGGAGUGUACCCAAGUAACCAGCGUGGCCCCAGGCCAGGGGUCCCCUCUGCAAGUGUCACAUUGGAGGGGGCCCUGAUGAUCUUGCAGACCCUGCAGCCACCUCGGGCCAGAAGCGAAGCAGGGUCCCUGCCCUCAGAGAGCGUCUAGUCUAGUGGAGAUACACACAUGAAACUGCCUUGUUUAGAAGCUACCAGGAAGGAGAGGCCCCAGUGAGAAGACGGCAAAUAAAGGGGGACUGUGACCUAGUCAAGCCACCAGGGAAAUCUUCCUGAGGAGAGGACGAUGGAUGAACUUUGGAGGCAGAGUGGGCAUUGCCUGGGAGGCAGGGAGGGGAGAGCGUUUCAAGAAGAGGGAGGAGCAUGUGCCACGCAGGAAGGAGGGAGGACAGGGAGUCCCAGACUGAGGGAGGACAGUGCCAGGAGGGCCUGGAAAAGCAGAGGGGAGGGUCAGGCCACAGCAGGCUUGAGAGGCCACGGAGGGGGCUGUGUGUGACAGGGAGGGUGACGGGGAUGGUGGGAGGUAGGAAAGGAGAGGAGAGAUGGAACCUGAUUUGCAUUUCACAAUGACAACUCUGCCUGCUGGGGUGGAGAAGGAUCUGGAAGAGUCUGGCGUAGGCAGGUGGGCAGAGCACCUGCGAGGUUAGUUAAUGCACAUAAUCAGGAAGGAGACUUUGUAACCUGGGCCAGGGAAAUGAAGAGAACAAGGCCAGUGGUCUGUCCAGGGGCCCGGGGACGGGUGGGAGGUGGGGGUGAGGGGAGCCCCAGGGAUGGCACCCAGGCUUCUGUGUUACACAGUUGGAGGUGGCCUCGCCAGGAAGGAACAGCUGGAGGAGGCCAGGUUUUGGAGGGAGGGCAUCUGCAUUCAGCCUUGGCCGUGCUGAGCCUGAGCUGCUGCUGAGCUAUGCAGGGGAAACACACAGGUAUGGGGUGUCUGUGUCACCAGUGAGGGGACUGUGCAAGUGACUGUCCUAACUGAACACUUCAGAGUGAAAAGAAGCUCUGUUAACAAUGAUGCCACACCAGGGCCCCAGACAGGGCCUGUCCCCGGCAAACAGGGGCACUAGUGCCCUUGCUAUCGGUAGUUAGGAGACAGCAGAGACACGGAUGGGGGUGAGAUCCUUAGAGAAGGAGGGGACUCCCGGAAGCCGAGAGGAAUGGCUGACUAAGAGUGGCGGAGCACAGGUGGGGAUGGCCAAGAGGGUGUGCAUCUGUGCCAGUGCCGGGAGCAUUUGGGAAGUGCAGUGUGGCCCACGGUGGCCCCUGGCCAUUGCUGAGGGGGAACCUGGCUGGAUGUACCCCCUAGGAGGUCACCGGGGGCCUCGGUGAGAGCUGGCAAGGAGAGGUGGCAUCGUGAGCCACACUGGGGUGGAGACUGCAAAUGGCCAGUUCUCUCUGGAGCAGCGCCGCUUAAAUAAACAUGGCUCUGGCAUCUUUGAAGGCAGCUCUCUGGUCUUCUCUCCUGCGAAAGUGCUCAAGGAGGCAGUAACUCACGUUCAGGGGGUGCUGUCUGAGCAGCAGGAGUGAGGGCUGCCUUUCUUCAGUGAACCAAAAAUAUUUGCCAAGCCUCUCCUAUGUGCCAGGCGAUGGAGACAGAUUUACGGCAACAGACGUGAGAGAACAAGCCGGGGGUUCAAGCCUCUGUCACAGACGCACGGGAGCUUCAGAAGCAAGCGCUCCUGCUGGGUGGGAUACGGCCCACUCCAUCUCCCCCGCUCUAGGAACUGCCUGGGCCACUCAUCUCCCCUCGUCAACAUGAAGAGGUGACGCCAGCUGUUCUACUCAACUGCUCCGGAGAGACACCUGCUCUGGGUGCACUCACCACAGGGCCAGAUCCCCCAUCUCCAAACCGGGCCAACCAUCGUUCCCACCACGGCCCGGGCUGAGUCUGGGGUCAUGAGAGGAGGCUGUCUCUGUGGCGGCGGAGCUGUGCACUGCCUGCUUCCUGCACGAGAGCCAGGUCCGGGUUCCUCCUGUCUUCCCGUGGUCUGGCUGCCCCUCGCUGGCCUGGAUUUUAUGCUUUGGUGGGAGCUCAGCUUCUCUCCCUGGCAGCCGAGGGCUCGGACCGAUACGGCCAGCACUGUGCAUGCCCGGGUUUGAGAGAAGCCACCCCAGCCUGGGGUUGUCUUCCACAGACCCCCGCCCCCUUGCCAGAAUGUCAGCACCCUAACACCCCCUGUCCUCAGUCUCUCAGCCCAGCCGGGCUACCUUUCUGACCUAUUCCCCUCCAGGCUUGCCAAAACCUGCGGCCCACUCUGUUCUGCCCACUGCUGGCCUUCUCCUCUCUGGGCCUUUGCGUGGGUCUCCCCACGUACGGUCAGGAGGUGGACCAGUGCGGUGGAAGGAGAGCUGGGUGGUGGUCGGGCCUGGGUUUGAGUCCCAACUCUGCCCUCACCAGCUGCUCAGCCCUCUCCCAGCUCGCCGCCUCAUCGCCUCAUCUCUAAGUGAGGAACACUCGCUCCAGCUUCAGGGCUGGACACGGUGAUCCUCUAGGGAAGGAGGCAGGCUGGAACCAGGAACGUGUACAGAGAAUGCCUGGCCCAGAGCAGAGAAUCUCGUUUCUCUCUGCCUUCCUCAAUGAUCAAGAACUAGCCAGGCGGGAAACGCAAAUGCAAUGUGGAAAUAAACCAAACAAAGGCGA
Homo sapiens (human) is the source of this 7248-nucleotide long non-coding RNA. RefSeq lists it as uncharacterized. The record is from RefSeq and is a predicted model, not a curated record. Lineage: Eukaryota; Metazoa; Chordata; Mammalia; Primates; Hominidae. The transcript has 2 exons.